AUGGCGGGCAGGCUGGUCCUCCUUAAUGCCAUGUUAUCUGCCUUCACGAUGUACUGGCUGUCCGUGUUUGAGCUGCCUGCUUGGGCGCGGGCCGAGAUCGACAAGCUGCGUUGGGCGUGGCUCUGGAAAGGCAAGGAAUCAUGUCAUGGUGGGCACUGUAAGAUUGCUUGGAACAGGAUUUGCCGGCCAAGGCAACUAGGAGGCCUUGGCAUCAUUGACUUGCAUUGCUUCGGAAUUGCCUUGCGCCUCCGCUGGUUGUGGCUGGAGCGUGUCCCCCCCACUACGCCCUAG
This 291-nucleotide ribosomal RNA is filed under the name Triticum aestivum (bread wheat). RNAcentral describes it as "partial small subunit ribosomal RNA". The record is from RNAcentral. Lineage: Eukaryota; Viridiplantae; Streptophyta; Magnoliopsida; Poales; Poaceae.